CACCGAUGACGAGGCGUUCUCGCCCCGUCACGAC
This 34-nucleotide non-coding RNA is filed under the name Actinoplanes sp. SE50/110. The record is from RNAcentral. Lineage: Bacteria; Bacillati; Actinomycetota; Actinomycetes; Micromonosporales; Micromonosporaceae.